CGGAUUUUCAAAAGCACCGACAUAGCAUUUCCAACAAGUACCGCAUACCCAUCCCGAAGCGGGUGCUGGGGUUUCAAUGGCCUCGGACAAAACGGGAUGAACUUUAAAUCUUGCAGCAGACUGGUGUCUGUGUGAGGUCAUUAAGCCUGCAACCACAGCCUGUGUCAGUGAAAGAGACGGAGACAGACAGACAGAGAUGGGUCACAGGAGAGGGUGACGGUGCUGACCUCGCCUUGCUAUAGUGGCCUUUGUGGGUCUGUCACUUCCUAUUCAAAAGAUAAAAAAUAAAAAGCAGCUUCUAAA
This is a long non-coding RNA of Mesocricetus auratus (golden hamster), 303 nucleotides long. RefSeq lists it as uncharacterized. Lineage: Eukaryota; Metazoa; Chordata; Mammalia; Rodentia; Cricetidae. The record is from RefSeq and is a predicted model, not a curated record. The transcript has 2 exons.